GCAUGUUUGUGGGUGGAAAGUUUUUCGGCUUGGGAUGGGCUCGCGGCCUAUCAGCUUGUUGGUGGGGUGAUGGCCUACUAAGGCGACGACGGGUAGCCGGCCUGAGAGGGCGACCGGCCACACUGGGACUGAGACACGGCCCAGACUCCUACGGGAGGCAGCAGUGGGGAAUAUUGCACAAUGGGCGGAAGCCUGAUGCAGCGACGCCGCGUGAGGGAUGACGGCCUUCGGGUUGUAAACCUCCUUCAGCAGGGACGAAGCGUGAGUGACGGUACCUGCAGAAGAAGCGCCGGCCAACUACGUGCCAGCAGCCGCGGUAAGACGUAGGGCGCGAGCGUUGUCCGGAUUUAUUGGGCGUAAAGAGCUCGUAGGCGGCUUGUCGCGUCGACUGUGAAAACCCGUGGCUCAACUGCGGGCCUGCAGUCGAUACGGGCAGGCUAGAGUUCGGUAGGGGAGACUGGAAUUCCUGGUGUAGCGGUGGAAUGCGCAGAUAUCAGGAGGAACACCGGUGGCGAAGGCGGGUCUCUGGGCCGAUACUGACGCUGAGGAGCGAAAGCGUGGGGAGCGAACAGGUUUAGAUACCCUGGUAGUCCACGCUGUAAACGUUGGGCGCUAGGUGUGGGGGGCCUCUCCGGUUCUCUGUGCCGCAGCUAACGCAUUAAGCGCCCCGCCUGGGGAGUACGGCCGCAAGGCUAAAACUCAAAGGAAUUGACGGGGGCCUGCACAAGCGGCGGAGCAUGCGGAUUAAUUCGAUGCAACGCGAAGAACCUUACCUGGGUUUGACAUCGCCGGAAAUCCUGCAGAGAUGUGGGGUCCUUCGGGGCCGGUGACAGGUGGUGCAUGGCUGUCGUCAGCUCGUGUCGUGAGAUGCUGGGUUAAGUCCCGCAACGAGCGCAACCCUCGUCCCAUGUUGCCAGCAAUUC
This 923-nucleotide ribosomal RNA is filed under the name uncultured Micromonospora sp. Its description in RNAcentral is "bacterial SSU rRNA". It matches the Rfam family "Bacterial small subunit ribosomal RNA", at positions 188 to 1127 of the family's 1533-position model. Lineage: Bacteria; Bacillati; Actinomycetota; Actinomycetes; Micromonosporales; Micromonosporaceae. The record is from RNAcentral.